GGGCCUAUAGCUCAGCUGGUUAGAGCACACGCCUGAUAAGCGUGAGGUCGAUGGUUCGAGUCCAUUUAGGCCCA
Molecule: transfer RNA, 74 nt
Filed under: Enterococcus faecalis
Lineage: Bacteria; Bacillati; Bacillota; Bacilli; Lactobacillales; Enterococcaceae
Also listed under: 2 other names
Description: tRNA-Ile
Rfam family: tRNA
About the family: Transfer RNA (tRNA) molecules are approximately 80 nucleotides in length. Their secondary structure includes four short double-helical elements and three loops (D, anti-codon, and T loops).
Source: RNAcentral